GGAAACUCCUAUAUAAAAAAAAAAUGUAUGGAAACCUCGUCUCAGUUCAGCCAACCUAACAAGAUAAAUAAUAAACUGGCAACACAAAGGCAGAAUUGUCAAAUACUUCAAUUUUCAAAACUAAACCGUGACGAAAAGAAAAUAUUGUGAUUCCGUGGUGUUUUACUUGUUUUCUAUCAUUCAUUCGGUUUUCUCCAUCUGAACAGUGCAGUGCGUCGAGUUGAGCAAUUAAGUUCCUCCGUAGUGUUUCAGUUGUGUGAUAUUUUCCUAUUCACAAACAAAAGACGUCGAGUUGAAGCAGUGUGCUCCUCCGUCCGCUGUUUUUGAGUAAGAUUACUGAGAUAGAGACUCAUUAUGGGUGGAAAGAGUAGAAUUUGUGAAAUUUGUGGCGUUAGAGAACGACACAGGCCGGGAUUCUUUGCCAAUUUCCCGAUUGAUGAGCAAAGGUGUAGAACUUGGGUUCAAAUUGUUGGUAAAGAAGAUCUAGUGCAUAUACCAAUUGAAAAGCUUCACCAAGUACGUUUUGUUUGUGGAGAUCACUUCAUAGCAAAGGACUUCAACAAAAAAGGCAAUCGCCUGAAAAAAAGGGCUUACCCUAAGCUGCACCUCUCUGCACAACCAUUGAGUGACCACCAAUUAAAAGAUUUUCCUCAACAUGUUGCAAGCAAAGCUUUGGCUCCUACACCCAUGGUUGACAAUAUUGCAACAGCUGCAAUUGCGUCAUCAUCCAAAAUGCAGAAUAUGGCAG
Molecule: long non-coding RNA, 748 nt
Organism: Cydia splendana
Lineage: Eukaryota; Metazoa; Arthropoda; Insecta; Lepidoptera; Tortricidae
Exons: 3
Source: RefSeq, a predicted model, not a curated record